Molecule: ribosomal RNA, 497 nt
Filed under: uncultured bacterium
Lineage: Bacteria
Description: partial 16S ribosomal RNA
Rfam family: Bacterial small subunit ribosomal RNA
Source: RNAcentral
GAUGAACGCUGGCGGCGUGCCUAAUACAUGCAAGUCGAGCGAACAGACGAGGAGCUUGCUCCUCUGACGUUAGCGACGGACGGGUGAGUACCACGUGGAUAACCGACCUAUACGACUGGGAUAACUUCGGGAAACCGGAGCUAAUACCGGAUAAUAUAUUGAACCGCAUGGUUCAAUAGUGAAAGACGGUUUUGCUGUCACUUAUAGAUGGAUCCGCGCCGCAUUAGCUAGUUGGUAAGGUAACGGCUUACCAAGGCAACGAUGCGUAGCCGACCUGAGAGGGGGAUGGCCCACACGGGAACGGAAACACGGUCCAGACUCCUAGGGGAGGCAGCAGUAGGGAAUCUUCGGCAAUGGGGGAAAGCUGGACGGAGAAAGGCGGCGUGAGGGAUGAAGGUCUUCGGAUCUUAAAACUCUGUUAUUAGGGAAGAACAAAUGGGUAAGUAAAUAUGCACGUCUUGACGGUACCUAAUCAGAAAGCCACGGCUAACUACGUG